GUGAACGCUGGCGGUAGGCCUAACACAUGCAAGUCGAACGGCAGCACCGUAAGAGCUUGCUCUUACGGGUGGCGAGUGGCGGACGGGUGAGGAAUACAUCGGAAUCUACUUUUUCGUGGGGGAUAACGUAGGGAAACUUACGCUAAUACCGCAUACGACCUACGGGUGAAAGCAGGGGAUCUUCGGACCUUGCGCGAUUGAAUGAGCCGAUGUCGGAUUAGCUAGUUGGCGGGGUAAAGGCCCACCAAGGCGACGAUCCGUAGCUGGUCUGAGAGGAUGAUCAGCCACACUGGAACUGGGACACGGUCCAGACUCCUACGGGAGGCAGCAGUGGGGAAUAUUGGACAAUGGGCGCAAGCCUGAUCCAGCCAUACCGCGUGGGUGAAGAAGGCCUUCGGGUUGUAAAGCCCUUUUGUUGGGAAAGAAAAGCAGCAGGUUAAUACCCCGCUGUUCUGACGGUACCCAAAGAAUAAGCACCGGCUAACUUCGUG
This 491-nucleotide ribosomal RNA is filed under the name uncultured bacterium. RNAcentral's name for it is "partial 16S ribosomal RNA". It matches the Rfam family "Bacterial small subunit ribosomal RNA", at positions 29 to 507 of the family's 1533-position model. The record is from RNAcentral.